AUUGCUACAUCUUUCUUGUGACGCUACAAUUCGAGCGGUACAGGUCCAGCUUGCUGGAUGCUGACGAGCGGCGGACGGGUGAGUAAUGCAUAGGAAUCUGCCCGGUAGUGGGGGAUAACCUGGGGAAACCCAGGCUAAUACCGCAUACGUCCUACGGGAGAAAGGGGGCUUUGGCUCCCGCUAUUGGAUGAGCCUAUGUCGGAUUAGCUGGUUGGUGAGGUAACGGCUCACCAAGGCGACGAUCCGUAGCUGGUCUGAGAGGAUGAUCAGCCACAUCGGGACUGAGACACGGCCCGAACUCCUACGGGAGGCAGCAGUGGGGAAUAUUGGACAAUGGGGGCAACCCUGAUCCAGCCAUGCCGCGUGUGUGAAGAAGGCCCUCGGGUUGUAAAGCACUUUCAGCGAGGAAGAACGCCUGGCGGUUAAUACCCGCCAGGAAAGACAUCACUCGCAGAAGAAGCACCGGCUAACUCCGUGCCAGCAGCCGCGGUAAUACGGAGGGUGCAAGCGUUAAUCGGAAUUACUGGGCGUAAAGCGCGCGUAGGUGGCUUGAUAAGCCGGUUGUGAAAGCCCCGGGCUCAACCUGGGAACGGCAUCCGGAACUGUCAUGCUAGAGUGCAGGAGAGGAAGGUAGAAUUCCCGGUGUAGCGGUGAAAUGCGUACAGAUCGGGAGGAAUACCAGUGGCGAAGGCGGCCUUCUGGACUGACACUGACACUGAGGUGCGAAAGCAUGUGGUAGUCAUACAGGAUUAGAUACCCUGCUAGUCCGCGGCCGUAAACGAUGUCGAACCAGCCGUUGGGUGCCGUAGUACCCACUCUGUGACCGAAGUUAACGCAAUAAGUCGACCGACAUGAUGAGUAUCGUGCCGCCCAUGCUUUAAACUCUAGAAUGGAAUUUGACUGAGUAGUACCUGUC
Molecule: ribosomal RNA, 916 nt
Filed under: Halomonas sp. YIM 90759
Lineage: Bacteria; Pseudomonadati; Pseudomonadota; Gammaproteobacteria; Oceanospirillales; Halomonadaceae
Description: bacterial SSU rRNA
Rfam family: Bacterial small subunit ribosomal RNA
Source: RNAcentral